Molecule: ribosomal RNA, 723 nt
Filed under: Triticum aestivum (bread wheat)
Lineage: Eukaryota; Viridiplantae; Streptophyta; Magnoliopsida; Poales; Poaceae
Description: partial small subunit ribosomal RNA
Source: RNAcentral
AUGGUUGUACGUGCUAAAAAUGCGGUACAUUCCAUUUUGUUUCCCAUCCUAGUCUUUUGCGACACUUCUGGUUUACUUAUUUUGUCAGGUCUCGACUUCUCCGCUAUUAUUGGACUGAUCUUUUUGUGGGAAAUGUUCUUCAUUUCAGAUAAUGAAACCAUUCCAUUACUACCAACCCAUAGAAAUACGACCUCUCUGAGAUACACGGUUUAUGCCGGAAAGGUAUGAAGUUGGACUAAUUUGGAAACAUUGGGCAAUUUACUUUAUACCAACUAUUCCGUCUGGUUUUUGGUUUCUAGUCUGAUUUUAUUAGUUGCUAUGAUUGGGGCUAUAGUACUUACUAUGCAUUGGACUACAAAGGUGAAAAGACAGGAUGUAUUCCGACGAAAUGCCUUGGAUUCUAGGAGCCAUAUAAUGAACAGGACUAUUUCUCCUUUUGGCCACAGCCAUAGAAGAAGCUUCUCCUCCGAAGCGGGGGGACCGCCUGACAAUUACAAAGAAACCUUUAAAAUGUGGAUUUUGUGCUUAGAAUAUAAGGAUUUCCCUGGCUUAAAAUGCAAGAUAGAUAGACUUCUUGCAUUCCUUGAGCCUGGAGAGAUCCUAUUCAUGGUAAACACGUUCCCCCGAGACUUUCCUCUGCUCGAGAUCUUAGAGCCCCAGGAUAUCCGAAAUAUAAUUGCUCACUCGCACAAGCAGUGGAAGCCACCCAAAAAGGGAGGCUAG